This is a long non-coding RNA of Triplophysa rosa, 298 nucleotides long. RefSeq lists it as uncharacterized. The transcript has 3 exons. The record is from RefSeq and is a predicted model, not a curated record. NCBI's taxonomy places the organism in Eukaryota, Metazoa, Chordata, Actinopteri, Cypriniformes, Nemacheilidae.
AAAGAGGCUUAUACAACCCCCUCUGUUAAUAGACAGGGGCCAACCUGGUGGUGGUGGGGAGGAUGGAUGUAAAAUCCAGAGGCUUCAACUGCGAACGCAAACAGAGAGAUUGCUGUAAACCGCGAAAGUGCCCCACCCAUCGUCAAGUCACACAGAGCACAACUCCUGGCUGCAGCUGAAGGAGGACGUUAGAUUUCUGGUAGUUCGUCUGACCAUUGCUUGUUUAGCUGGAUUGGGUCAUCUGUUAUGUUCCCAGGCAAGUCAUCCCAGGUUAAGGAUGUCCAGCUACGACUGCAAG